This 482-nucleotide ribosomal RNA is filed under the name uncultured bacterium. Its description in RNAcentral is "partial 16S ribosomal RNA". It matches the Rfam family "Bacterial small subunit ribosomal RNA", at positions 30 to 507 of the family's 1533-position model. The record is from RNAcentral.
AUUGAACGCUGGCGGCAUGCCUUACACAUGCAAGUCGAACGGUAACGGGCCUUCGGGUGCCGACGAGUGGCGAACGGGUGAGUAAUACAUCGGAACGUGCCCGAUCGUGGGGGAUAACGAGGCGAAAGCUUUGCUAAUACCGCAUACGAUCUACGGAUGAAAGCAGGGGACCGCAAGGCCUUGCGCGGACGGAGCGGCCGAUGGCAGAUUAGGUAGUUGGUGGGAUAAAAGCUUACCAAGCCGACGAUCUGUAGCUGGUCUGAGAGGAUGAUAAGCCACACUGGGACUGAGACACGGCCCAGACUCCUACGGGAGGCAGCAGUGGGGAAUUUUGGACAAUGGGCGCAAGCCUGAUCCAGCCAUGCCGCGUGCAGGAUGAAGGCCUUCGGGUUGUAAACUGCUUUUGUACGGAACGAAAAGCCUUCUUUUAAUACAGGAGGGUCAUGACGGUACCGUAAGAAUAAGCACCGGCUAACUACGUG